RNAcentral lists this small RNA (28 nucleotides) under Bombyx mori (domestic silkworm). RNAcentral's name for it is "ovarian small RNA-3661". Lineage: Eukaryota; Metazoa; Arthropoda; Insecta; Lepidoptera; Bombycidae. The record is from RNAcentral.
UGAUAAACGACGCUUGAUGUGCCCCCCC